AACUGUGGUGAGAACUUAUUUCUGAAUUUUGUGUGAUAUCUAAAGCCUGUCAAAAUGGAAUUCCUCGUAGCUUCUCACAAAAGAGAAAUGCUGUGUAAGCUAUGCCACUCUUAUCCUACACUGCGUCUACUUAUUACACUUCCUGUCAUUACCUUCCACAUUUUUACAGACGCACCAAGGAAUCAAGAAAGAUGCAGAAACUUUUCUGAUAUUUUAGAUAGAUUAUCAGCAUUGCUGAGACAAGUUUAUUUAGUCCAACAGUAUUUGUUUGCAAACUUCUUGGAUAACUGAUAUGAAAGAUAUUAUUACAACCACAGGCAGAAAAUACAAUUCAAAGUAACACUCACACAAAACUUGACCAUACUCAUGGAAACUUAAAGAUGAAGUACAGUGGGACCUUGUUGCAUAAUAAAACAAUUUUUAUUUACUAACAGAAAUAAAACUUGAUCCUAGUAGGCCUAGGACUACAGAUGAUGGACACGCUUUAUGGUCGAUACCAAGGGGAGUUCUGUGCAUCAAUCAUAACCGUGGCAUCACUUAUCAGGAGAUUUGGCUGUAUUUAUCAACAGUAGAUAGACUGGUACUUACACUGAAGAGAUAUACAGCCCUUUCACAUUAUAGUAUCGUGUACUGAAAAACCCUCACGACCAUCAUCCCCAUCAUGUUCUGGGGCAUACAACCUACCACAAUCAAGGGCAGACAGCCAUGUCAUAUAAAGGGGCAGACAACUGUCUUAAUUUGGAGGGAUAAAACAUUAAGGAGCUGACAAUCCUGUCAAUCUCAAGGGCAUUCUUGCCACACUAAGGGGUAGACUCCCUUGUUGUACUCAGGGGCAGACAACUCAACAUACUAAGGACCAUAUGACCCAGUCACAUUCAGGAGAUAAAAGAAUAGUUAUGUAACCCUGUUUCUAACCUAUAAUUGAAUUCUGAGAGGAAAACAUUUCUAAAGGUGUCCCUCUCCAUUGAGCUCCCCUCCCGUGUACGAUGUAGUGUGUAUUGGCCACAUAAUGACCUCCCCAGGCUAGUUUCUCCCUCACAUGUUUCUGUUGUACUGACUCUUGUUUAUGUAUUAUGGUAUUGAUUAUUUUCAAAAACGUAAAUUGAUCCAAUUUAACUGAGUGGAAGCAAUUAUCACGCAACAGCAUUAGGAUUGCUGCGGCAACACUGGAGCUUCGACAUCUCUCGAAAUGGGGUAAGCACCCUUCUCGUUUAUGGUAGACCUGCUACACCCCAGGCUCAAGUAAAAAAAGUUAACUACAUGUGCCAUAGCCCUUUUAAACUGUUGCACCACAGCUACUGGGCCGAGUUCUAUAGAUGUGAAAUCCUGUACAAUGUAACUUUAUAAAAUUGUUAUGCCAGUAGCAUUGGGUUUUUAUCUCAUACACAUAAUCCAGUUUGAAAGAUAUUGUUUAAAAACAUUUCCCCCGACAGUCAUUCAAGCUGGAACUCCAAUGUGACUUGUGAGAGGAAAACCUCAUGUCUGGCAAUGCUAAGAGAAUCGUUCAUGUCAUGCUAAAAGUAUGUCAUUAGCUCGAAAAUGCAUUACCAAAGAGAAGUACAUGGUUAGAUCUAAACUUGACAAUAAGUGUUGUGUGGAGGAUUGCUAUAUCAGUGUGGAGAAAUCCUAUAGUACAACCCUGCUAAUGGCUCCACACUUUUAUCUUUGAGGGGUGCUGUUCAGCAUGCUAUCAGGUAAUGCAUUGGCAAAGUCACUUUUCAAUUAACCAUAGUUGAAUAAAUUUGUUAAGAUUUGUUACAUAUAUCCUACAAGUUGGGAUUCAAAAUGUUCCCAAACAAAUGAAAUUGAAUAUCCAUAUUUCUAAAUAAUGCUUAAAAUGUCAUUUUGAAACUUUUUAUUUCAAGAUAACAAGACUUGUAAUAGCAAUAGGUCUCUUUAAAAUACAAUUGUGGUAAAAUUCAUUUAUAGUUAAGCAUCAUAAACGUUCUGGUAAAUUAACUUUGCACACAAAUUGAACAUUCCUCCAUGCACAGCUGGUGAAUGAGGUAGGCGAAGACAAAAUUAAUUGUAGCCACUUCAAGCUGUCCUGUAGCCUUAGACCAGCCUUACCAGGUUAACACGUUUAGCCCUUUGGAAAUCACAGUGGUAGCGUGUUCUUAUAAAUCCUUGCUUGUUCCAGCCAUUGCCAUAUCAGCCAAGCCUAAUUAUAGGGGGACUGUUAAGUGGGGGUUACCGACAACCUUAUUAACCGUGGCCAAAUCAUCAUAUGUUUUUGAGCUGGUGUCAUUAGACGUCCGACAGAUUAAAACUUCAAAGACAUCUCCAAGUAUGAUUAGUAUUGUGCAGGCCCCAACAAUGUAGAGCCAUGCCUGAGAGGCCCUGAUAAUGUAUAAGUGUCAAGUGUCAUGAAAUAUAUAACUUGGGUCCUUCAGUCGGCUGGCAUUAUUAGCAAUGAAAAGGAGAAUCAUCACAGCGGUAUUGGUGAAUAUUGUUCAAACGUGUAAUGAAUGAGAUUUAGUGCUUGUGUUUUGCAUGCUGAAAAUAAUGUCCGACAGGAAUGUCAAGUCAACUAUACAUGAUGUGGAGGAACAGAUCAAACAGACCAAGCUAAGGAUGGGGAGGCAGAUCACAUAUCGCCUCACUGGAACAAGUCCAUUUAUCUAGGGCAUUAUUGAAUGGUUUGUAUUCUGUAGAUAAGACCACAGUAAUACUGAUUACCCUGGAAAGUGGCAGGCAGCACAAACCAGCAGCUUGUACACCUGAAGGACUCUAAUGCAUUAAACUGCCACGGGUUGAUAGAGUUGUUUUUAACCUACAGUGGAUAUGUGGCGUGUUGGACAGAAAUGGAGAAGCACUUACUGAGUCCAUCUUUGUGGCCCUGGAGGCAGUGAAGGGAUUUAGACCUGUACAAGCACCUGUUUUGUGGGAGGGUGGUGGUAAGUCUGGUGUGGCCAGUGAUUGGAUACAAGCCCCUUUCUCUCCUCAGCAGUCUCCAGUGACAAGCUGCCUGGGAACUUCCUCCAAUAUCCCAGUCUGCACUGGAUACAACAUGAUGUAUGACUUGUGAAACCUGCAGAUGGGGAGAUCCUCCAAAGCCAUACAGUGUGUGCUGGCUUCCUAAUGGACAAACUCACCACAGCAGUAGGAGGACUCCAGCUAGCUACACAGAGAAUGCCUACUCUACACCUCUGGUCACUGAUUAACACUGUUCAUAAUGCCUUGAUUACAUUGUGCCAGUAUUCCUGUUUUUCGCUGGUGAUUCUGACCAGGAAAACCUACAGAAAACUUGUCACAGGUUUACAAGCUUUGACAGCCACUGAAAGGAAUCCAAUGUCAACAUUGCUGCUGUUUUUAUUGCCCUCCUUUACUGAAGAGUUCUCAAGAGGGGGUAGGCUCGCCUCGCACUAUGAUAUGAUGCAGAGACAGAUAACUGUAGCUAUGUUAUUUGUUACACACAAAAAAACUCAGAUGGCGAUGGAUUUUUGGUGGAAAUUAUUCGUAACCAAGGUGUAGUGAACUUUAAUAUUCAUAGUCACUUGGGCUAAAGAUAUCCAAGUGGCAGGCCAUGGAUAGUGAUGGGCUACACAUCACAUCACAGGCCUCCCUGUACCAAAUGGGUCCAGGCCCGAUAGGCUUGUCUGUUCUGGACACUGGUCAAAUCUAUUAUUAGAGGAGAUGUCCUGUCCAGAGAGUGGGAAAGGUUCAAAACUGACCGAUAACAUACACAAUAGAUGGGGCUCAUCGUCAGCAAAGGAGAACUAGUUCUGGAUAACCUACCAAGGAAAUGGACACCACACCAGAAGACUGUAGUCCAGACAUACCAACAAAGCUACUGAUUGACAUCAUGGACCGUAACGUGACAGCACCAGACAUGGGGAUGCUAGGGUGUUAUCUCCCAUUUCGGUGGUACAGAGGAAGGAUAAGCCUGGCUAGGAGCCGAUACACCUGUCUACCUGUUAGUGUGUUCACCUAUGGAUGAACACCAUGAUAGGUGUAAUACCUGUGAUAGGUGCAGUACCUGUGUAGGGCCACACCUAUGGAUGGAAACCAUGAUAGUUGUAAUCCCUGUGAUAGGUGCAGUACCUGUGUAGGGACACUCUUAUGGAUGGACACCAUGAUAGUUGUAAUGCCUGUCAUAGGUGCAGUACCUGUGUAGGGACACACCUAUGAAUGGACACCAUGAUAGUUGUAAUACCUGUGAUAGGGGCAGUACCUGUGUAGGGACACACCUAUGGAUGGAAACCAUGAUACUUGUAAUACCUGUGAUAGGUGCAGUACCUGUGCAGGGACACACCUAUGGAUGGACCCCAUGAUAGGUGUAAUACCUGUGAUAGGUGCAGUACCUGUGUAGGGCCACACCUAUGGAUGGAAACCAUGAUAGUUGUAAUGCCUGUGAUAGGUGCAGUCCCUGUGUAGGGACACACCUAUGGAUGGAAACCAUGAUAGUUGUAAUACCUGUGAUAGGUGCAGUACCUGUGCAGGGACACACCUAUGGAUGGACCCCAUGAUAGGUGUAAUACCUGUGAUAGGUGCAGUCCCUGUGUAGGGACACACCUAUGGAUGGACACCAUGAUAGUUGUAAUACCUGUGAUAGGUGCAGUACCUGUGUAGGGACACACCUGUGAAUGGAGAUAGUAGGUGAAGCCUGUGGAUGAUACAUGGUGUACGGAUAACUUGUGACAGGUAUAAUACCUGGAGAUGGAUACACCUGGCCAGUAAUUAGAUACAAUUUGUGUGCUAGGAAUGUGUUGUUUAUUCCAAUGUUUAUCUGUGGUUCUAUACAGAUAUGUGGGGAAUGUACCUCGUGUGUUUUGAAUAUAGUUUUGCCUGUUAUUCCAACAUGAGAAAUUUCGGAUUUAUCUUCUGGGAUUAAACGGGAGGCUUAAACCAACAUCAUGUCUGCAAGCCUCCACACACACUUUGUCUAAUAAGGGGCACUGCUAAUGGGCUGUGAAAGUCUCAACCGUCACACCGCACUGCUACGCAACCCCGGACCAAGGUAGCCAGCUCUCAACUCAUGAAUAAAAUUCAUAACCAGUAUUUCAAGGAGAUGGUUUAAGAAGACAGGACUAAAUGGUCAAUUGCAUGUUUGUCGAUGACCAAUUACCCUACCCCUGUUCCCUGGGGAGGACACCACCGUUUGUGUCAGCCACAGACAAUUCAGUUUUUUGGCCAAUUCAAUAAUGAUUGAAUGGGAAUGUACCACUCUGAGAACAAGCUGUUCUGUAAGGAGUGAUCACUUAGGAUGGCACAUCAGAAGACCUUUCCUUGUCGAGGCUAUUAGUAUCAGCCUUCUGAUGUGUCAAAGGAACCAGGCCUUAACGAUGGCUCAAGAAAUUGCAUAUUGUUUUCAAAGGAGAUGAAAGAGCAGCCGUUCAAAUGACAUGGACUGUGAUAAUGAUGGUGAUGGGGUGUGCAGCUGCUGCAGUCUCAAGACCUCGAUAGCAACCAGCAAUGGAGGAGAGACCCGGGGGCAGUAAUGGACUAACAAGCUACCAGGGUUCAUUGACGUGAGGAAAGGAAGGAACUAUUGGACAGGGCAGGAGGCAGGACUGAUGAGGAAGAAAAAGAUGGUAGAGGAUGAUUGACAGCUGGGAGGCG
Molecule: long non-coding RNA, 5562 nt
Organism: Mizuhopecten yessoensis (Yesso scallop)
Lineage: Eukaryota; Metazoa; Mollusca; Bivalvia; Pectinida; Pectinidae
Exons: 6
Source: RefSeq, a predicted model, not a curated record